Molecule: long non-coding RNA, 396 nt
Organism: Vitis vinifera (wine grape)
Lineage: Eukaryota; Viridiplantae; Streptophyta; Magnoliopsida; Vitales; Vitaceae
Exons: 2
Source: RefSeq, a predicted model, not a curated record
UUGCUCUAAGGAUCCGUCUGAAUCAGAGAUGCAGCCACAGAAACGCUUGAAAUGCAGCCAUUUUCAGGACAUCCCUUGACGAGGAGGAACCGGCGAGGAAAAUGCGUGAUAUGCACCCAAAUCUUCCCAUAACAUCUCUUGGUGCUGGGAACAAAUUACUUUGGCAGUGCUGAUUCUGGUUUGCUGGAACCGGUAAAUAUUCUGUAGUGCUGAUUCUAUUUUGCUAGAAAAUAUUCUGAUAGUGCUGAUUCUGGUUUGCUGGAACUGGAAAUUAUUAUGGCAGUGCACUGAUUCUGAUUUUCUGGAAUUUAUUAUAGCAGAGUUUUGGGGCAAAAUAGCCCUUUCUUGUAAAAGUACAUAAGUUUUGGCCCCAUUGCGAAGUUUAUGUUCAAAGUA